RNAcentral lists this ribosomal RNA (418 nucleotides) under Scotolemon sp. DNA101042. Its description in RNAcentral is "partial 16S ribosomal RNA". It matches the Rfam family "Bacterial large subunit ribosomal RNA", at positions 1832 to 2600 of the family's 2925-position model. Lineage: Eukaryota; Metazoa; Arthropoda; Arachnida; Opiliones; Phalangodidae. The record is from RNAcentral.
AUCCGUUUUUAAGAUAAGCGGUAUUGCCUGCUCAAUGAUAAAUUAAAUAGCCGCAGUAAUCUGACUGUGCUAAGGUAGCGUAAUCAUUAGCUUCUUAAUUAGAGGCAAGUAUGAAAGGUGAAUACCAAGAGGUAAGUUUUGUCUUUUUUUAUUGAAUUUUAAUUAUUAAUAAAAAUGUUAAUAUAUAAUCCUGGGACGAGAAGACCCUAGAAAUUUUUAUAUUUUAUAUUUAGUUGGGGUGAUUACAGAAUAAGAGAACAUUUGUUUAGAUAAAUGGAAAAUUACUCUAGGGAUAACAGCAUAAUUUAAUUGGAGAGUUCUUAUCAGUAAUUAAGUUUAUGACCUCGAUGUUGAAUUAAACUAUAUUAAGGUGAAGAAGCUUUAUAUUACUAGUCUGUUCGACUAUUUGAAGUUUACA